GAAGGUGGCAAGCGUUAUUCGGAUUUACUGGGCGUACAGGGAGCGUAGGCGGUUUGGUAAGCCCUCUGUGAAAUCUUCAGGCUUAACCUGGAAAAGUCGGAGGGGACUGCUGGGCUAGAGGACGGGAGAGGAGCGCGGAAUUCCCGGUGUAGCGGUGAAAUGCGUAGAGAUCGGGAGGAAGGCCGGUGGCGAAGGCGGCGCUCUGGAACGUUUCUGACGCUGAGGCUCGAAAGCGUGGGGAGCAAACAGGAUUAGAUACCCUGGUAGUCCACGCCUUAAACUAUGAAUACUAAGUGUCGGCGGUUUACCGCCGGUGCCGCAGCUAACGCAUUAAGUAUUCCGCCUGGGAAGUACGGCCGCAAGGUUG
Molecule: ribosomal RNA, 367 nt
Filed under: uncultured bacterium
Lineage: Bacteria
Description: bacterial SSU rRNA
Rfam family: Bacterial small subunit ribosomal RNA
Source: RNAcentral